UCGGAAGUAGCUUAAUUGGUAGAGCAUCUGACUCUGAAUCAGAAGGUUGAAGGUUCGAGUCCUUCCUUCCGAG
RNAcentral lists this transfer RNA (73 nucleotides) under Candidatus Peribacteria bacterium. RNAcentral's name for it is "tRNA-Gln". It matches the Rfam family "tRNA". Rfam says of the family: Transfer RNA (tRNA) molecules are approximately 80 nucleotides in length. Lineage: Bacteria; Candidatus Peregrinibacteriota; Candidatus Peribacteria. The record is from RNAcentral.